CUGCUGCCUUCCGUAGGAGUCUGGUCCGUGUCUCAGUACCAGUGUGGGGGACCUUCCUCUCAGAACCCCUACGCAUCGUCGGUUAGGUGGGCCGUUACCCCGCCUACUGCCUAAUGCGCCGCAUGCCCAUCCCUGUCCGGCCGAAGCCUUUCCUGCCUCCGGGAUGCCCCGGUGGCAUGUACGCGGGUUUAGCCCGCCUUUCGGGCGGGUUGUCCCCCUGACAGGGGCAGGUUGCAUACGUGUUACUCACCGUGCGCCGGUCGCCGGCGGAGAAAG
Molecule: ribosomal RNA, 276 nt
Filed under: uncultured bacterium
Lineage: Bacteria
Description: partial 16S ribosomal RNA
Source: RNAcentral